AAAUUGCAUUUAAAAAGUGGUCUUUUCCUCCUAGUACCUUCCCCUCUCUACCAACCCAGGUUUGCAGACAGCCAGGGUCUGCCCGGGAACUGGCGGUGGAUGGGGUGGGUCUAUGUGGUUGUUUGAGGGGCUGGGGUGGGAGGUGGUCACUCUCCAGAUGUCUUAGCAGAAAACUGGGGGCUAGAGGAGACACAGCUGGGAAGGCGGGGCCAAGAAGGAGGCUGGCAGCCAUCCUCCACCACACCAAGCUCCACCAGAGGCUUGGGUCAUGCCAGGGACUUGGGUCGGACAUGUGAGGCUGCACAAGCCACUUAGCAUCCUUGGCUGUGUUUGUGGAUGGAGCUGCUCGUCAGCCUACCCUGCCCUGAAGGUGCCCUUCCAGAAACAGCUCCAGCAUCUCCUCUACCAGGAAGCCUCCCUGAUGGCUGAGAGUCCUCUGCUGCCUCCAAGGGCCCCCUUCACAUUCUACUGCUUGGACUGCCUGCUAUGGUCCUGUCUCUCUAGAAAGUCUAGAAACUUCUGAGGAGCAGGACUAUGUCGCACUCAUGUUGUAACCCCAGGAACUAACCCAAAGUCAGGUACACAAUAGGUAUUGAAUAAAUGCUGGACAGACGGGUGAAUGAACGAUAGGAUCAUGACAGUGCUUCAAGCCCUUGGAAGCACAGCUGUUAUGGAGAAGUUUACUGCACAGUGGUAGACGGUGGCACGGCCCGAGUGCCCCACUGCCUAUACUCAACCCUAGCUCUGCCACCUCCUGGCCACGUGAUGUGAAGCAGGUUACUCGGUGCCUCACUUUGCUCAUCUAUAAAAUGAAGAUAUUAAUGGCAUCCUGCCUGUGGAGGUGUUGUCAGGUGAAAUUAGGUGACAGGUAUAAAUGUGGAGCACCUGGCACACAGCCGGUGGCCCCUAAAAAUCUGCUCGUGUUAUUCCACAGGUCCCAAGAUGCUGCGAUUCUCUGCCGUGAUCCCAGAAAUACUAGGGAGAAGAGUGGUCUUCCCAUGGCGCGGAUGAGGAGACUAAGGCCUGGAAUGUAUGUGGUACAGAGGUUGAGACCACGUCAGCCUGCGCCGUCUUCAUCAGGCCCUCUGACACAACAUUAAGGGCAUGGCAAGGAGUCAGUUGCUCCGUGACCCUAAACCUCAUCCCUCUGGAGGCUUCAUCUCUGCUCUGGCUAAGAAAUGCUCUGACCUUGGUAAGGAAGGGGGGAUGGAAUCCCAGCCACCUUGCCCUUGACCCCUAUGAGUGGCCAAGUCGUAGCCAGGGUGGGCCUUUGGCCAUGGGGGCAGUGCUCUCAAGCCUCUGGCUGCCCUGGGGCCUGGUGUCUAGGGCCUCACAGCUGCUAGGAGUUUGAGCCUUUGCUCAGACCCACACCAUCAGCUAAGGAAAGCACCCACAAAGGCCAAGCUUCCA
This 1410-nucleotide long non-coding RNA is filed under the name Homo sapiens (human). RNAcentral describes it as "HSALNT0214979". Lineage: Eukaryota; Metazoa; Chordata; Mammalia; Primates; Hominidae. The record is from RNAcentral.